AGCAACAGAGAUGGACCGACUGCUUUGGUUUUAUUUCCUACUCAUCUACCUGCCUGUAACAGAGAGCAUGGACAAGACAGUUUGCUUAUCACAGCCAAAAGUGGUUUGGAGGAAAACAGAACAAUCUGCUGUUCUCUCUUGUACUGUCCACUCAAACUGUUCAGACACAGGGCUACAGUAUAGAUGGUUUGUUUUCCGAAAGGACACACACUCUGAAGUCCAUGACAGUCCUCCUAAGUGCGUUCUGAAUGGACCGACUUUACACAUCAAUUCACUUGAUGUAACAGACAGUGGGAUCUACCACUGUGCUGCAGUAUCACUAGACAGAGAGCCUGAAGCUGGUAGACAGCACAUCGGCCUGGGUACGACUCUGGUAGUAAGAGAGAAGACAAAGGUGAGGCACAUUCUCCUGUGGCUAUCUUUUAUACUCAUGGCUAUUUACAGCUUGGUGAUACUGGCGCUCGUCAUUCUGAAGAAGUAUGGCUACCAUCGCACCUGCAUAAAGAUGAACAAAACCUCAAAUGUUAAAACCUCAAGUAAAAGAAUGCAAUUCCGUGAUGUGCUGCAAGAAUUAUACAGCAGAAGAAACUCAGAAAGAAACAAACAAUCAGCAAGGAGAAACAGACCUCAGACUGACGAGGCUGCAAGUCCCAAGUUCAACGGCUCCAUUGAUGACAUCUAUCAAAAUGUCUAA
Molecule: long non-coding RNA, 694 nt
Filed under: Sphaeramia orbicularis (orbiculate cardinalfish)
Lineage: Eukaryota; Metazoa; Chordata; Actinopteri; Kurtiformes; Apogonidae
Description: lncRNA (ENSSORG00005020607.1)
Source: RNAcentral